This 409-nucleotide long non-coding RNA is filed under the name Equus caballus (horse). Its description in RNAcentral is "lncRNA (ENSECAG00000036454.2)". Lineage: Eukaryota; Metazoa; Chordata; Mammalia; Perissodactyla; Equidae. The record is from RNAcentral.
CUUCGAUCAUCUCGAUGACAAUGGAGGGAGGACACCACAUCUACCUAAGGAUCAUGCAGCCAUCAGCUUGGCCUUUUCCGCCAAGAGAGAGAGAGGAAACCGUAUUUGAAGUACAGCCUUCCUAUUCCUGCUGGGAGAGCUGCCAGCACACAGGUGGCAAACACAUCCAGGUGAAGGGCUGGCUCUCAUCUCCUCUUUUUUCCCCGACCUGUCCCCCGCACCUAGGGAAGACUGUUUGAAGCAACAUACUUCCUGCUGCCUGAGCUGCAUGUGUUCUGGAAGAGGCUGCCCAUCUCUCCCUCUUACACACAAACUGCACACACAUGUGGGGAACAGACGAAUUUUUUUAACCAUGCUGUAUUUAGCAUUCUUCUUUACUCAGAAUUUCAACUUCCAGAGUGUGUAUGUG